CCUACGGGAGGCAGCAGUGGGGAAUAUUGGACAAUGGGCGAAAGCCUGAUCCAGCCAUGCCGCGUGUGUGAAGAAGGCCUUCGGGUUGUAAAGCACUUUCAGUGGGGAAGAAAGCCUUGGGGCUAAUACCCUCGAGGAAGGACAUCACCCACAGAAGAAGCACCGGCUAACUCCGUGCCAGCAGCCGCGGUAAUACGGAGGGUGCGAGCGUUAAUCGGAAUUACUGGGCGUAAAGCGCGCGUAGGCGGUCUGGUAAGCCGGUUGUGAAAGCCCCGGGCUCAACCUGGGAACGGCAUCCGGAACUGUCAGGCUAGAGUGCAGGAGAGGAAGGUAGAAUUCCCGGUGUAGCGGUGAAAUGCGUAGAGAUCGGGAGGAAUACCAGUGGCGAAGGCGGCCUUCUGGACUGACACUGACGCUGAGGUGCGAAAGCGUGGGUAGCAAACAGGAUUAGAUACCCGGGUAGUC
This 465-nucleotide ribosomal RNA is filed under the name Vreelandella stevensii. RNAcentral describes it as "partial 16S ribosomal RNA". It matches the Rfam family "Bacterial small subunit ribosomal RNA", at positions 338 to 795 of the family's 1533-position model. Lineage: Bacteria; Pseudomonadati; Pseudomonadota; Gammaproteobacteria; Oceanospirillales; Halomonadaceae. The record is from RNAcentral.